GACGAACGCUGGCGGCGUGCCUAAUACAUGCAAGUUGAGCGCUGAAGGUUGGUACUUGUACCAACUGGGUUAGCAGCGAACGGGUGAGUAACGCGUGGGUAAUCUGCCUUUGAGCGGGGGACAACAUUUGGAAACGAAUGCUAAUACCGCAUAAAAACUUUAAACACAAGUUUUAAGUUUGAAAGAUGCAAUUGCAUCACUCAAAGAUGAUCCCGCGUUGUAUUAGCUAGUUGGUGAGGUAAAGGCUCACCAAGGCGAUGAUACAUAGCCGACCUGAGAGGGUGAUCGGCCCAAUUGGGACUGAGACAAGGCCCAAACUCCUACGGGAGGCAGCAGGAGGGAAUCUUCGGCCAUGGACGAAAGUCUGAACGAGCAACGCCGCGGGAGUGAAGAAGGUUUUCGGAUCGUAAAACCCUGUUGGUAGAGAAGAACGUUGGUGAGAGUGGAAAGCUCAUAAAGUGACGGUAACUACUCAGAAAGGGACGGCUAACUACGUG
RNAcentral lists this ribosomal RNA (497 nucleotides) under uncultured bacterium. RNAcentral describes it as "partial 16S ribosomal RNA". It matches the Rfam family "Bacterial small subunit ribosomal RNA", at positions 28 to 507 of the family's 1533-position model. The record is from RNAcentral.